RNAcentral lists this ribosomal RNA (494 nucleotides) under uncultured bacterium. Its description in RNAcentral is "partial 16S ribosomal RNA". It matches the Rfam family "Bacterial small subunit ribosomal RNA", at positions 28 to 507 of the family's 1533-position model. The record is from RNAcentral.
GACGAACGCUGGCGGCGUGCUUAACACAUGCAAGUCGAACGGUGAAGCGCCUUCCUUUUUGGUGGGUGUGGAUGAGUGGCGAACGGGUGAGUAACACGUGAGUAACCUGCCCCCUUCUUCUGGAUAACCGCAUGAAAGUGUGGCUAAUACGGGAUAUUCUGGGUCUGUCGCAUGAUGGGUCUGGGAAAGAUAUUGUUUCGGGGGGGGAUGGGCUCGCGGCCUAUCAGCGUGUUGGGGGGGUGAUGGCCUACCAAGGCGGUGGCGGGUAGCCGGCCUGAGAGGGUGGCCGGUCCAACGGGGACGGAGACACGGACCAGACUCCUGAGGGAGGCAGCAGUGGGGAAUAUUGCAGAAUGGGCGCAAGCCUGAUGCAGCGACGCCGCGUGAGGGAGGGAGGCCUUCGGGUUGUGAACCUCUUUCGCCAGUGAAGCAGGCCUGCCUUGUUUGUGGGUGGGUUGACGGUAGCUGGAUAAGAAGCGCCGGCUAACUACGUG